CAGAGAUGUGUGCGGCCACCACGCUCUGAUUCCAGCACAUUCCCACCACUUAGAAUGGAGCUCACACCCACUCAGUCCCUCCUCAGGGUUCCGGUAACUCAUCGUGUACUUCCAACCCUGGGUUUGUGUGCUCUGAACAUCUCAGACACGUGGGAUCACAUGAUCCGCGGCUUCUGCGGCUUCCUCACGUAGCAUUUCCCAUGUUCAUGGGUGCUGUACCUUCAUCAUGCAGCAUGUUCCCAUGUUCAUCGGCGCUGUGCCUUCCUCACGUAGCAUUUCCCGUGUUCAUCGGCGCUGUGCCUUCCUCACGUAGCAUUUCCCGUGUUCAUGGGCGCUGUGCCUUCAUCAUGCAGCAUUUCCCGUGUUCAUGGGCGCUGUGCCUUCCUCACGUAGCAUUUCCCGUGUUCAUGGGCGCUGUGGCGCGUGUCAGUACCUCGCUCCCGGCUGUGAGUGACGCUCAGUAUUUCAUUCAGCCCUCCAGGCAGGCCUGCAGAAGCCGUGUCUCGGGAUGGCCAAGAGCCCAGCCAGGCCCCACGGCUGCACCGAGGACAGGAUUCAUGCCCCAUGCCUAGCUUCUCAUGACCACAGAGUGCCUUUCCCGGGACUGGAUAGAGGCAAAGUGAGAGAAGAGCCUGGAGCAAGUGUUUUGGACCACAGUGAACAAACAUGGAGCCCGCGGGAGGACACACAGGGCGAGCCCGAUGCUGCUCACUGCACCUGGAGCGUUCGGCUGGUGUUCUGAGCAGCCGUCAACCUUGAGUUUUGCUGUCAAAAGCUCUCCUCUCUUGCCCCAAAAUAUGCCCAGACCAUGCCCCAAGAGGAAAGCCCUUGUGCCAGGUGGGCACCCAGCUGCCUCUUGGCAAAGACUUGUUGGAAAAAUGAGUGAGUGACGAGGCUGCUGGUCACUGUGUGGCCUGCGGCGUCACUGGAGCCUCUGGCUGCUGCAGGAACCAGCAGAGGAGCCUGCUCUGCAACCCUGGCUGUACCACGUCAGCGUCCCACCGGGAGCCAGAGAGCUUGUUCCCAGGCAACCCUGAAACGGAGAAGCGUCCCUGGAGGCUUCGCCUACGCGGACCCGCGGCUUCCUGGUAGGAGCCGGCCUCACCGACCUGGCUCUGUGAGGAGAGCGGGGAGGGGCCCUGGGGAAACAACCUGGCGUUGGCGGGGCCGGCCUGUGAGUCACGGGGAAGCCAGCCGCCCGGACGCCCCCUGAGGACCCGGUGAGUCCGCACGCAGCACAGCAGGGCCUGGGCCCACACCGCCGCCUAUUCCUGCAGGCCCCUCACGUCCACUGACUGCACCUCCAGGGACUCUGCCUGGCA
Molecule: long non-coding RNA, 1322 nt
Filed under: Macaca mulatta (Rhesus monkey)
Lineage: Eukaryota; Metazoa; Chordata; Mammalia; Primates; Cercopithecidae
Description: lncRNA (ENSMMUG00000056336.1)
Source: RNAcentral